Molecule: ribosomal RNA, 635 nt
Filed under: uncultured bacterium
Lineage: Bacteria
Description: bacterial SSU rRNA
Rfam family: Bacterial small subunit ribosomal RNA
Source: RNAcentral
AAGUAUCCCACCUGGGGACUACGGCCGCAAGGCUAAAACUCAAAGGAAUUGACGGGGGCCCGCACAAGCAGCGAGGUAUGUGGUUUAAUUCGACGCUACGCGAAGAACCUUACCUGGGCUUGACAUGCUUGAGAAAGGACCAAGAAACUGGUCCCCCCAUGACCGCAAGGUCAUGGCUCAUCCACAGGUGCUGCAUGGUUGUCGUCAGCUCGUGUCGUGAGAUGUAAGGUUAAGUCCUUGAACGAGCGCAACCCCUUUCGUCAGUUGCAAACCAGCAAUGGCGCACCCUGACGAUACUGCCAGCUAAAAGUUGGAGGAAGGAGGGGAUGACGUCAAAUCCUCAUGGCCUUUAUGUCCAGGGCUACACACAUGCGACAAUGGUCGGUACAACGGGUUGCAACACCGCGAGGUGAAGCCAAUCCCUAAAAACCGGCCUCAGUUCAGAUUGCAGACUGCAAUUCGUCUACAUGAAGAUGGAGUUGCUAGUAACCGCGGGUCAGCUACACCGCGGUGAAUAUGUUCCCGGGCCUUGUACACACCGCCCGUCAAACCACCCGAGUCUGUUGCACCCGAAGUUGCCCGUUGGGUGACGAAGGUGUGACCGGUGAGGAGGGUUAAGUCGUAACAAGGUAUCC